Molecule: long non-coding RNA, 5190 nt
Filed under: Setaria viridis
Lineage: Eukaryota; Viridiplantae; Streptophyta; Magnoliopsida; Poales; Poaceae
Description: long non-coding RNA (SVIR_LNC008467)
Source: RNAcentral
CUGCCUCCCUUGAGCAAUCAGUGGGAUGCCCAACGUACUCACAGGUGCUAAUCGCAUAAACAACUGCUGAUCCGCUUAGAGCCGAGAGAUGAGCAGCGGGACAGAGACAGGGCUGUCCUCGCCCAUGGCAGGGUGGCACAUCUCCAGCAUGUCCAGCUCCCUGAACCGCUCCAGAACCCGCAUCUUGCACUCCUCAGCUGCCAUGACACCAGUGGAGAAGGCGCCGUGCACUGUGCCUGUGUACUUGACACUUGUAGCCUCCCCUGCGAAGAACAGGUUGUCCACAGGGAUGCGCAACUUCUCGUACAGGUCGCGGGGUUUAUUCACCCCAUCAAACGUGUAGGAACCAAGCGUGUUCUCAUCCGAGCCCCAGUGUGACACCAGGUAAUUUAUCUGCAAUAAAUUUUUCAGCAACAUGGUUGUCAGAAAUGCCCUAGCAGGAUUCUUUGAUUAUUGUAGUUGACAUAGUGUUGACAAACUAACCGGCUCAGCUGCAUUAGGAAGGAUCUUCUUCAACUGGGAGAAGGCGAAUUGGGCAGCUGCCUCAUCAGACAUCUUUUCGAUAUCACGAGCAAGGCGGCCAGCAGGCAUGUAAACGAGAACAGGGUGGCCUGUUGCCUUGUGAAGGUUAAGGAAAUAGCUGCAUCCAUACGUGCUUGAGGAAACGACCCCAAGGAACUCCACGUUAGGCCAGAAAACCUGGCUGAAGUGAAGAACAAUUUUAUUCUCAAUUCCAACUGAAAGUUCUCUAACUGCUUCUUCCUUCCACUCUGGCAGUCUCGGCUCAAAUUUAAUAGUGUUUGCUUUCAGAACACCCAAUGGAACAGCGACUACUGCAGCAUCAGCAACAAAUGUUUUGCCACUGCUUACAGUAACCUCUACCCUGUUCCUGUGGCGAACAAUUUCAACAACCCUAAAGAAAAUAGAAGGAUCAGUACUGAAGGAAUGGCAGACAAAACUGCUGCUUAGCAAAUGAAUAAGAAAAUGACAUCCAUACUUAUGGUUGAGGCGUAUAUCUAAGCCUUUUGCCAGAGUAUUUAUAACUGGACGAUAUCCACGAACCAUGAGGCCAUGGCCACCUGGAAGCAGCACCUCCUGCACCCCACAAACAUGUCAUACAUAAAGCACAGGAUUUCAUCAUGUGCAAGUGCAACUGUGCAAGUAUACUGACCACUCCAGGCACUAAAGGGGGAAAAAAACAUACCUGGUCCCAACCCUGUAGUGAGAUUGAAUCGGCAUCAGUGGCAAACCAACCCUCCAUACGGCACAAAUACCACUGAAGAACUUCAUGAGCAAUCCCUUCUUGCCUGUUGUAAAGUGUAAGCACAUGAAGAAGCCAGUAAAAAUGACCGGUAUGUUUGUGCUGACAGCUGGAGAAAUGCAGAAAUUGGAUAGUACAAACCUCAAGUGCGGAUGUCUAUCCAUAACAAUUGAGAUGGCUUUUGCGAUAGACAUAUCUCCAUUGGUUUCUUCCCUCAAUUUGCCAGUCUGCACAGAAGUGGGUAAAUCAGACAAAAUAAACUAUACCUAAAAUCAACAGGCACCAGUGCACCACUGAUUGAAAGGAGGGAGUACCUCUUCCAGUAUGGCCUCAAACACCUUUCCAAUCUUUUGUACUAACUCCUGUGGUACUUGAUGCCCAUCAGUGUCGUAGAGUGCAUAACUGAAAGGCAAUAGAACAAGUUAGAUCCCAUCAUUGGUUCCAUCAUCUCUCAAAGUAUUUAUAAAACAGCCCAGAUGCAAAGUUUUACCUCUCCAAAUCAUGAUCAAACAGAACAGAAUCAUCUCCACUCGUGCGGUACAGCGGCAGUCCAAGCCUCCCAAUUAUUGGUGCUAAGGGAUUUUCUUCACAGACACCAUGAAGCCUGAUUAUUAAAAAGGUGAAGAAAAACUGUUCAUAACAUUCCUUCAAGAUAAACUUUUGUUGAAAGUUUUUUUUAAAAAAAGAAUGAAACUCACCAAGAUGCUCCCAAAUCGACAGGAAACCCAAAAGAGUAGUCGGUGUGAACUCUGCCACCUAUCCUAUCACGGGAUUCCAGGAGAAUAACCUGGAAUGCAUCACAACAAUUGAAAUGCAUUAUAAAAGGGUCAUAUCAUUUUCGCCAAAGAAAUACAAAGGUCGCCGUCACACCACCAACAGAAGAUGACCAUAAGUAGCAUUAUACAAUACCUGGAAGGAUGCAUUUCUGAGCGCAUCAGCAGCAGCAAGCCCUGCAAACCCACCACCAAUAACAAUAGCAGAUGGUGUGUGUGACUUUCUCCUAACAUUUUCACCAUAUGAACCUGACACAAAGACAAAAUAGAAUGUUUUAUCUCAGAAAAGGUAACACAGGUGUGUUCAGAAGUACAAGUUUAGUUAUAUUUAUUUAUCACAUAUUGAUAAGGAGUAAUAAGUUUCAAAUACAUUUCUGGUCAAAUUCAUUAUUCCAGCAGUACCACCAUUUGGACACAUAGACCAGAAGGAAAUAAAAGUGGAUGGCUUCUGCUUUUCUGACUAUAUAAGAAAGUUGUGGAAACAUUGCCAUGUCCAUUACUGCUACAGUGUUUGGAUGACAUACAAACCUGUUCAAUGUCAAUUUUCUACAGAUUUUGAUGCAAUUGGAUGGUUGCUUAUCUGGUGGGGUUUAGCGUUAAGACAGAUAGAUUGCUCCGAAGAGCGGAAAGGGGAAGUUUCUACCUCCAAAUGAUAAAAGACCAGUUCAUACAGAAAUAACAUAAAAGAAGCCUACCAAGUGGAGAAUAUUGCCGAUAUCGCCUGUUCUUCUCACAUCAACCCUCCUCUACCCCCCUCCACCAUGGAGGGUUAGUAGUGAGGCAUGUUCCCCUGUCUCAGAACAAUGAUGAUGAGGUAAGACAGGACAAUUUAAGAUUUUCGCUUAUCCUUCCCAAUUUAGGUGAGGCCUGAAUUGGUCUGUAUUAACUGUGGGUGCUCUGACAUGAGAUACUCUUGACUCUUCCAACAUUUUCAUAGCAAGCAUAACACAAUCAUCUAGCAGCUUUCCUGCCUGGUUCGUUUCAAAGAAAAAAAGAAAAACAUAAUCAUCUAGGUUUGGACAGGACACAAGGUCAUUUAGUCAUUGCCUCAUUGGUACACUCUUCUAGCUUACGUUCGGACGAGAUGGGCAAUUAAUCUUAAGGUAAAGAAGCGUGGCAUGUCUUGAGGCUAAUGUUUGUCUUGGCAUUACAAGUUACUUGGUAGGAUUGUGGUAGGUAACUCUAGUAGAGACCCCAAUAUCGGAUAUGCUUUGGGACACUAAAAAACAGCACAACUUUAAUGGUCACCAAGCAUAUCUCAUCUAAGGCCAGCAGGCACAAUGAAAUGCACUUAGACCCAAAAGUAAAUACCCCUGUAUGUGUGACAAUUAAGCAAAAGCACUAUGUACCAAUAAUGUAACAGCUACAUGCAAAUUGCAGCAUCAGAGGACAGUGAACAAUUAAACAAUGACAUCCACUAAGCAACAUUAUCAUACACUAGUCUAUCCAUGUCCGUGUGCAUGACAAUGACGUGGGUCGCGCAUGCAUGGAAUGAAGCAUGGCACUUAACAGGAAUGUCAUAUCACUUCAAGGCAUAUGCUUUUUCCUGUAAUCAAAUUUUGUGGUAAUCAAUAUAUGCUAAAAUUCCCAUGCUGUGAGACAGUGGUAGGCUUGUGAGAGCAAUUACUUUACUGAUACAAGGUCUCUUCUAACCUCAUUAUUUUGAAAAACCACAAGAGUCUACAAAUCCACAAGGACAUGGACUUGUUCUUGCCAUGAGCUACUAGGUCAAAUCCUAGAAGCUUCCAAGUGGUCGGUCCCCUCUUGCGUGAGAUAUUGGUAUACCAAGUGUAAAGUGUGGACAGCUAUACUCUUUGUUUUUCCCUUCCUACCACCGACAAAUGAAUAUGAAACUUCAUGGUUCAUGGCCCUUUCAUCGGGCCCAUGCAGCACUACCAAACAACCAUAAGAACCUCGAAUCUUUUGGGUUAUCGAAACAAGUUUUUUUAAACAAGAUCAGAAGCUAAUUAAGGUGGAGAAAUUCAAUUUUGCCACAAAAUUACCAGAAAGGGCAUGUGAUCCAGCAAAUGUACACCUAACCAACAGCCUAACAACGUCAUGUCAUAUAAUAAACAAGAACGGAUCCACAAGUUAUUAUAAGCCUACAAUUCUUCACCUGAGUAGCUUUAAUAAUUCGCAUCUAUACAAGAUAUAUUUUCCUUUUACCAACGAAAACUUAAAAUUGGAAGAAAAAUCAAUCUGUCAACUAGAAGCCCCACAAUUCAAAGAGCUCUGGGAGGAGAAGUAAGAAACUUACUGUUGUUCGCCAUCUGUGCAGCUCUGUUCUUCUCCUUCACGAUUACUACUUGAAUUAGGAUUGGACGGAUUUAACAACUGAGGGGAGAAAUGCAGCAGGAAGAUGAGGAGGCAGGCGACGUAGUGGUUCGAGUUCGAGUUGAGUCCCAGGUUCACGAAACAGUUCAUGCAGCCGUGCAGCCGGAUCGCCGCAGCCCUCCUAGGAAUUCACGGUUCCCCCUCUCUUAUCUCACACAGCCUUCCAGUGUGCCCCCGAUCCCAUCAAUUUUCAGCCGAUUCGGUUGCGGGGCAGAGGAAAACUCCGGCGGGGCAGGCACAACUGCAGAAUCAGAGGAAUCAAAACAGUCAGCUCAUCACAAAACUUGAUCUCACCGCUUCUAUCACACACAAACGCUUCGCGGCAGGCGAAAAUCGCUACCGAAUCGAAGGAUUCGCUGCAAUUUUGGAGGGGAAGGCGUGUUCCUCUGAAGCAAUCAAUCUGGGCCGAGCAAAUACAAAAUUCGCCACGCAACCCGCGGGAACCGACCCGGAAUCCCGUCCCCCGAAAGCCACCAAAUCGCCAAGGCGAUCGAUCGAGCAAUCCAGGGAACCCAGGCCCCCCAAAAGAAACAAAACAAAACAAAAACAAAAAAGGAGUCCGUCCUUUACUCCCCGAAAACCAGGCUGGAAUCACGCGACGCAAAGCGCAGACUCCUCGGGAAAAUCACGCAACAGUGCAACACCCACCUUCAAAACUCGGUUCAGGACUCCGUCCACCAAUCGGAUCGAGUCGCACCCAGAAACCUAGCGGGGGCCGAAGAGCUGGAGAUUUUCGUCUCGGGGGAUUCGGAGACGGGAGAGGGGAGGGAGAGUCCUCGCCUGCUGCUGUUUCCUGCCGUUUGGGGGAGCCUUUUUCGCCUU